This 403-nucleotide ribosomal RNA is filed under the name uncultured bacterium. Its description in RNAcentral is "bacterial SSU rRNA". It matches the Rfam family "Bacterial small subunit ribosomal RNA", at positions 356 to 773 of the family's 1533-position model. The record is from RNAcentral.
AGGGAAUAUUGCGCAAUGGGGGAAACCCUGACGCAGCGACGCCGCGUGAAGGAAGAAGGUCUUCGGAUCGUAAACUUCUUUGACUGGGGACGAAAGUAAUGACGGUACCCAGGGAACAAGCCACGGCUAACUACGUGCCAGCAGCCGCGGUAAUACGUAGGUGGCGAGCGUUGUCCGGAAUUACUGGGUGUAAAGGGCGUGUAGGCGGGAGAGCAAGUCAGAUGUGAAAGCCCAAGGCUCAACUUUGGGACUGCAUCUGAAACUGUUUUUCUUGAGUACUGGAGAGGGAAGCGGAAUUCCUAGUGUAGCGGUGAAAUGCGUAGAGAUUAGGAGGAACACCAGUGGCGAAGGCGGCUUCCUGGACAGAGACUGACGCUGAGGCGCGAAAGCGUGGGGAGCGAAC